RNAcentral lists this long non-coding RNA (1330 nucleotides) under Anas platyrhynchos platyrhynchos (common mallard). RNAcentral's name for it is "lncRNA (ENSAPLG00000027035.1)". The record is from RNAcentral. Lineage: Eukaryota; Metazoa; Chordata; Aves; Anseriformes; Anatidae.
GUCCUGACUACUAUUUACUGUGUGUUUAAUCACAGAGGCUUUGGAGGGAGCCGAAUCUGUCUGGAGAAAGCAAAGCUGAAAAAGUAAUGUUAUUUCAUUUUUUAAUGGGUGAGAAGCUAGACAGAGGGGGUGGGGGGAGGCUGGAAAAUCAAACCACAUUUUGGAGGGGGAAGUGAGGCAGAAUAGUCCCAACUUCAUUUUUGUUCAAUAUGUUAAUGCUAAAUGUUUGACAGCCACACAACUUCUUUAGGGAUUACUCUGCUCCCUGUAUUUAGACUGGUCUUAGCACAAAGAAUAAUGUUUAAGAAUAACAGAAACCUUUAAAAUUAUUAAUUGUAAAGCAGACUGAAAUGAAUAAACCUUGUUUUCCCUCCUGUGUACCCAAGGGGUGGUACUGGCACAGUGCAGGAGCUCCUUGUUGGGUCAGGGGGAUGCAGGAGGUGCUGUGGGAACAGAGCAGGCACCCAUAGGUGGUAGCAGCAGUGUGGCUGUGGGGUUGGGAGCAGUGAAGACAUAGUUGGCUUGUGGUGUUAGAAGCUGCAGAGGGGAGGAGGGGAGUGCUGGAGUUGGGUGGGGGGACUGGCAGGUUGCUCACAGCUGCACUUUAUAGGUCCUGCUUGAGAGCAAAUGUAUUUAUUUAGCUGGGGAAAAGGGGGGAGGGUAUGGCCUGCUGGUUACAAAUAGAUUCUGUUGUAUGGGUUUAAGAUGCAGGAAGAAAAUAGACCAGAUGGGUGUUCUGGAUGGGGGGCUCUUAUCUUUUUUCCAUGCCUUGCUGGGGGUUCAGGGCUGUGUGCUACCCUUUAAUUCUGCUGUUCACCUUCAGCACAGCAAGGCAUUGAGGGCUGCACUAAAUAGGUCUGGAGUAAGUGCAGAUGGAGUGGGACAUGAAAAGUACAACUUGUUACUGAAUUACACAGGCAAUGCCAAAUUAUUUCUCAUCAGACUUGAGAUUUAUUGCAUCUGGAUUAUGGUCUUUUGAUUGUGCAAACAUUGCGAUUGAGGUGGCUGUCCUUUCCAGUAUCAUUAAAGUCUUCGUCAUGAAUCACAAGAACUAGAAAUCUGGAGAUGGACUGAAGAAAAACACAGGCAAAUAUUCAAAAUGCAGCAGACUGAAAAGAGCAAACUGGAUCACACUCAUAAAGCUCACAGAAGAGUACCUAACCAUUGGAACAGAAUGCCUGAGCCUUGUAACAAAUCGUAUUAGAAAAUCAUGAAAUGGACCAUUAAUUCCUUUGCAUAACAACAACAACAACAACAACAACAAUAAUAAUAAUAAUGUAAAAAAGAAUUAGAAAUAAUACUGCAGUGAGCUGUUAUUAUUAAAAUGCUA